Molecule: ribosomal RNA, 510 nt
Filed under: uncultured bacterium
Lineage: Bacteria
Description: bacterial SSU rRNA
Rfam family: Bacterial small subunit ribosomal RNA
Source: RNAcentral
GAUUCUGGCUCAGGAUGAACGCUAGCGGCAGGCCUAAUACAUGCAAGUCGUACGGGAUAGGCACUUUCGGGUGUCUUGAGAGUGGCGCACGGGUGCGCAACGCGUAUGCAACCAACCCCCGACGGGCGGAUAGCCGGUGGAAACGCCGGAUAAUACGCCAUGGUUCCCUGGGAGGGCAUCCUCUUGGGGAUAAAGCAGCGAUGCGGUCGGGGACGGGCAUGCGUCCCAUUAGAUGGUAGGCGGGGUGACGGCCCACCUAGUCGACGAUGGGUAGGGGAUCUGAGAGGACGGUCCCCCACACUGGUACUGAGACACGGACCAGACUCCUGCGGGAGGCAGCAGUAAGGGAUAUUGGGCAAUGGUCGGAAGACUGACCCAGCCAAUGCCGCGUGAGGGAAUGAGGCCCUACGGGUCGUGAACCUCUUUUAUUCGGGGACAAGGACGCGGUCGCGAACCGUGUUUGAGGGUACCGAAGGAAUAAGCAUCGGCUAACUCCGUGCCAGCCGCGGC